RNAcentral lists this unclassified non-coding RNA (295 nucleotides) under uncultured Mycosphaerellaceae. RNAcentral's name for it is "sequence contains ITS1". The stretch from base 1 to 105 matches the Rfam family "5.8S ribosomal RNA", at positions 50 to 154 of the family's 154-position model. The record is from RNAcentral. Lineage: Eukaryota; Fungi; Ascomycota; Dothideomycetes; Mycosphaerellales; Mycosphaerellaceae.
GAAAUGCGAUAAGUAAUGUGAAUUGCAGAAUUCAGUGAAUCAUCGAAUCUUUGAACGCACAUUGCGCCCCCUGGUAUUCCGGGGGGCAUGCCUGUCCGAGCGUCAUUACACCAAUCAAGCCUGGCUUGGUAUUGGGCGUCGCGGGUCUGACCCGCGCGCCUUAAAGUCUCACCGGCUGAGCGGCGUCGUCUCUAAGCGUUGUGGAAACUAUUCGCGGAGAGGAGGCGCGGCGCGGCCGUUAAACACCCCAUCAAAGGUUGACCUCGGAUCAGGUAGGGAUACCCGCUGAACUUAA